RNAcentral lists this ribosomal RNA (442 nucleotides) under uncultured bacterium. RNAcentral's name for it is "SSU rRNA". It matches the Rfam family "Bacterial small subunit ribosomal RNA", at positions 26 to 518 of the family's 1533-position model. The record is from RNAcentral.
AGAGCGAACGCUGGCGGCAGGCCUAACACAUGCAAGUCGAGCGCCCCGCAAGGGGAGCGGCAGACGGGAGAGUAACACGUGGGAACGUACCCUUUGGUUCGGAACAACACAGGGAAACUUGUGCUAAUACCGGAUAAGCCCUUACGGGGAAAGAUUUAUUGCCAAAGGAUCGGCCCGCGUCUGAUUAGCUUGUUGGUGAGGUAACGGCUCACCAAGGCUACGAUCAGUAGCUGGUCUGAGAGGAUGAUCAGCCUCACUGGGACUGAGACACGGCCCAGACUCCUACGGGAGGCAGCAGUGGGGAAUAUUGGACAAUGGGCGCAAGCCUGAUCCAGCCAUGCCGCGUGGAUGAUGAAGGCCUUAGGGUUGUAAAGUCCUUUUAACGGGAAGAUAAUGACGGUACCGUAGAAUAAGCCCGGACUAACUUCGUGCCAGCAGCCGC